AUACGUAGGGGGGCUAGCGUUAUCCGGAUUUACUGGGCGUAAAGGGUGCGUAGGUGGUUUCUUAAGUCAGGAGUGAAAGGCUACGGCUUAACCGUAGUAAGCUCUUGAAACUGGGAAACUUGAGUGCAGGAGAGGAAAGUGGAAUUCCUAGUGUAGCGGUGAAAUGCGUAGAUAUUAGGAGGAACACCAGUUGCGAAGGCGGCUCUCUGGACUGUAACUGACACUGAGGCACGAAAGCGUGGGGAGC
This 247-nucleotide ribosomal RNA is filed under the name uncultured bacterium. RNAcentral's name for it is "partial 16S ribosomal RNA". It matches the Rfam family "Bacterial small subunit ribosomal RNA", at positions 523 to 769 of the family's 1533-position model. The record is from RNAcentral.